GACGAACGCUGGCGGCGUGCUUAACACAUGCAAGUCGAACGGAAAGGCCCUGCUUUUGUGGGGUGCUCGAGUGGCGAACGGGUGAGUAACACGUGAGUAACCUGCCCUUGACUUUGGGAUAACUUCAGGAAACUGGGGCUAAUACCGGAUAGGAGCUCCUGCUGCAUGGUGGGGGUUGGAAAGUUUCGGCGGUUGGGGAUGGACUCGCGGCUUAUCAGCUUGUUGGUGGGGUAGUGGCUUACCAAGGCUUUGACGGGUAGCCGGCCUGGGAGGGUGACCGGCCACAUUGGGACUGAGAUACGGCCCAGCCUCCUACGGGAGGCAGCAGUGGGGAAUAUUGCACAAUGGGCGGAAGCCUGAUGCAGCAACGCCGCGUGCGGGAUGACGGCCUUCGGGUUGUAAACCGCUUUCGCCUGUGGCGAAGCGUGAGUGACGGUAAUGGGUAAAGAAGCACCGGCUAACUACGUG
This 468-nucleotide ribosomal RNA is filed under the name uncultured bacterium. Its description in RNAcentral is "partial 16S ribosomal RNA". It matches the Rfam family "Bacterial small subunit ribosomal RNA", at positions 28 to 507 of the family's 1533-position model. The record is from RNAcentral.